RNAcentral lists this long non-coding RNA (652 nucleotides) under Lathyrus oleraceus (garden pea). RNAcentral describes it as "Pisum sativum (pea) long non-coding RNA (PSAT_LNC030574)". Lineage: Eukaryota; Viridiplantae; Streptophyta; Magnoliopsida; Fabales; Fabaceae. The record is from RNAcentral.
GAGAUCGUGCAGAUGGAUAGAAUUUAGUUAUUUUUCUUAGCUAUUUAGUUUUAAGUUAGAUUAUUCAUUAAUGUUAUUUGAAUUCAUGUUCGCAUUUGUUUCCUUUUCACAUUUCUUUUGUUUUUUUUUUUUUCCAAUAUUACAUUAUGAUCAUUUUAUUGAAGCUAUUUAUUUAAUUUUAUUAUGCAAUAGCUAUUAUAUUCUCUACUGUUGCUGCCUAUAACUUAUUGAAUUAUUCAUGCAAUAUUAUGCAAAGUAGAAUAGCAUGCAAGAUAAAUUAAUUAGCAAGAUAAAAUAAUCUAAAAACAAAACAAAAUAAUAAAAAUAAAUCCAUUACCAAAGUAAUUCUGUAGAACGCUACUGAAGCCUUGCCAAAAAGAAUGUGUGACGAGCGUCACACAAUCUAUGACGAACGGCACGCCAAGAGCCUGUUACGAGCGUCACACCCCUGUGACGAGCGUAACACCUUUCUGACUAGGUGAACGUUACAUAGCCGUUGGAGACGAACGUUACACCCUUCAAUUUUUAUCUUCCCCAUUUAUUCACAUUUACCCACAUUUAUUUACUUUUCAACCACUUUUUUUUCCAACUUCCAAAUUCUUUUCCUAUAAAUACCCAUCAAAACCUCCCUUCAUUCACCACAAACCAUUCU